GAUGAACGCUGGCGGCGUGCCUAAUACAUGCAAGUCGAGCGAACGGACGAGAAGCUUGCUCCCCUGAUGUUAGCGGCGGACGGGUGAGUCACACGUGGAUAACCUACCUAUAAGACUGGGAUAACUUUGGGAAACCGGAGCUAAUACCGGAUAAUAUUUUGAACCGCAUGGUUCAAAAGUGAAAGACGGUCUUGCUGUCACUUAUAGAUGGAUACGCGCUGCAUUAGCUAGUUGGUAAGGUAACGGCUUACCAAGGCAACGAUGCAUAGCCGACCUGAAAGGGUGAUCGGCCACACGGGAACUGAGACAGGGCCCAGACUCCUACGGGAGGCAGCAGUAGGGAAUCUUCCGCAAUGGGCGAAAGCCUGACGGAGCAACACCGCGUGAGUGAUGAAGGACUUCGGAUCGUAAAGCUCUGUUAUUAGGGAAGAACAUAUGUGUAAGUAACUGUGAACAUCAUGACGGUACCUAAUCAGAAAGCCACGGCUAACUACGUG
This 497-nucleotide ribosomal RNA is filed under the name uncultured bacterium. Its description in RNAcentral is "partial 16S ribosomal RNA". It matches the Rfam family "Bacterial small subunit ribosomal RNA", at positions 28 to 507 of the family's 1533-position model. The record is from RNAcentral.